This 1317-nucleotide ribosomal RNA is filed under the name metagenome. Its description in RNAcentral is "bacterial LSU rRNA". It matches the Rfam family "Bacterial large subunit ribosomal RNA", at positions 1595 to 2925 of the family's 2925-position model. The record is from RNAcentral.
UGAUGUCACACUGCCAAGAAAAGCUUCUAGUGAGAAAGUAACUGCCCGUACCGCAAACCGACACAGGUAGUUGAGGAGAGAAUCCUAAGGUGUGCGAGAGAACUCUCGUUAAGGAACUCGGCAAAAUGACCCCGUAACUUCGGGAGAAGGGGUGCUGACCGCAAGGUCAGCCGCAGUGAAUAGGCCCAAGCGACUGUUUAUCAAAAACACAGGUCUCUGCAAAAUCGAAAGAUGACGUAUAGGGGCUGACGCCUGCCCGGUGCUGGAAGGUUAAGAGGAGAGGUUAGCGCAAGCGAAGCUUUGAAUUGAAGCCCCAGUAAACGGCGGCCGUAACUAUAACGGUCCUAAGGUAGCGAAAUUCCUUGUCGGGUAAGUUCCGACCCGCACGAAAGGCGUAACGAUUUGGGCACUGUCUCAACGAGAGACUCGGUGAAAUUAUAGUACCAGUGAAGAUGCUGGUUACCCGCGACAGGACGGAAAGACCCCAUGGAGCUUUACUGCAGUUUGAUAUUGCGUGUUUGUAUCACAUGUACAGGAUAGGUAGGAGCCGAAGAUUCCGGGACGCCAGUCUCGGAGGAGGCAACGGUGGGAUACUACCCUUGUGAUAUGACCACUCUAACCCGCUGCUCUUAGCGAGCAGGGAGACAGUGUCAGACGGGCAGUUUGACUGGGGCGGUCGCCUCCAAAAAUGUAACGGAGGCGCCCAAAGGUUCCCUCAGAAUGGUUGGAAAUCAUUCGUAGAGUGUAAAGGCAGAAGGGAGCUUGACUGUGAGACCUACAAGUCGAGCAGGGACGAAAGUCGGGCUUAGUGAUCCGGUGGUUCCGCAUGGAAGGGCCGUCGCUCAACGGAUAAAAGCUACCCUGGGGAUAACAGGCUUAUCUCCCCCAAGAGUUCACAUCGACGGGGAGGUUUGGCACCUCGAUGUCGGCUCAUCGCAUCCUGGGGCUGUAGUCGGUCCCAAGGGUUGGGCUGUUCGCCCAUUAAAGCGGUACGCGAGCUGGGUUCAGAACGUCGUGAGACAGUUCGGUCCCUAUCCGUCGCGGGCGUUGGAAAUUUGAGAGGAGCUGUCCUUAGUACGAGAGGACCGGGAUGGACACACCGCUGGUGUACCAGUUGUUCUGCCAAGAGCAUCGCUGGGUAGCUAUGUGUGGACGGGAUAAACGCUGAAAGCAUCUAAGCGUGAAGCCCCCCUCAAGAUGAGAUUUCCCAUCACUUUAAGUGAGUAAGACCCCUGAGAGAUGAUCAGGUAGAUAGGUUGGGAGUGGAAGUACAGCGAUGUAUGGAGCGGACCAAUACUAAUCGGUCGAGGACUUAAU